Molecule: long non-coding RNA, 613 nt
Filed under: Sorghum bicolor (sorghum)
Lineage: Eukaryota; Viridiplantae; Streptophyta; Magnoliopsida; Poales; Poaceae
Description: long non-coding RNA (SBIC_LNC018795)
Source: RNAcentral
GCAAUAAAUGUCUUGUAAGUAGGUAUUAACUGUCUCCCACCUAUGAGCCCCAGAUAUCAAAAGCCUUAUUAGAAGUAGGAUGAGAGAGAAGGCAAUGACACUAUGCUUCAUACCAAAAAUACCAUAUACUUUGAGAGAAGGCAUACACCAUUACUGCCUUGGUAAGGAUCCAGAAAUACCACAAAAGAGAGACUAGAGAGAGUCAUACAAGGAAUCUCUGAGUUUUAUUUGAAAAUCUGUAAAAACUCUAGAGCUAUAGUUAAUCGAAGAACAAGAGACAUGGCGCUUGACUAGACCGUUCUAUCUUUUAACUACUCAAGACAGAAGUGACGGUUACAAGUCCCAUGGUGAAAGGUAAAAUGAGCAAGUUUAAAUCUUAACAGUUUACCCUAACCUAGAGAUGAGAUCCUUUUUGAACGCAUGUGUAUCUUUAAGGCAUGAAACCACUGCAGAAACUCUUGAGUUCAUCUUUGCUCAGGGACGAGCAAAGAUUAAGCUUGGAGGAGCUUGUUGACGGUCCUUAAUGCUCACAUUUAACCAUCAACUAAUCAUGGAAAAGGAUCCAAAUGCAACCAACACCCAGACUUAGGGUUUUAUCUGAUAGAAAUCCACG